RNAcentral lists this ribosomal RNA (895 nucleotides) under Gastrotheca litonedis (Azuay marsupial frog). RNAcentral's name for it is "partial large subunit ribosomal RNA". It matches the Rfam family "Bacterial large subunit ribosomal RNA", at positions 1390 to 2599 of the family's 2925-position model. Lineage: Eukaryota; Metazoa; Chordata; Amphibia; Anura; Hemiphractidae. The record is from RNAcentral.
CACUUUCCAAAAGCGUCAAAGCUUAUUCGUAAUUCAUUAAAAAUCUCAACAUCCCCANGCCAACCCUUCAACAGUACUGAGUAGUUCUAUAUUCCUAUAGAAACUUUUAUGUUAAAACUAGUAACAAGAAGAAGACCUUCUCUUAAAUGCACCCAUAAAUCAGAAAGGACCCACCACUGAUAAUUAACGCCCAUGAGCCUAAAGUAGAAACUUAACUAGAAAAUACUACUGACCACAGCGUUAACCUGACACAAGAGCAUCCCAAGAAAGAUUAAAAGAAAAAGAAGGAACUCGGCAAAUAUUAACCCCGCCUGUUUACCAAAAACAUCGCCUCUUGAAAAACAUAAGAGGUCCAGCCUGCCCAGUGACACUGUUUAACGGCCGCGGUAUCCUAACCGUGCGAAGGUAGCGUAAUCACUUGUCCUUUAAAUAGGGACUAGUAUGAACGGCAUCACGAGGGUUAUACUGUCUCCUUUUUCUAAUCAGUGAAACUAAUCUCCCCGUGAAGAGGCGAGGAUAUAUCUAUAAGACGAGAAGACCCUAUGGAGCUUUAAACAAAACAACAUUUGCUAUAUCACCCAUCAAUUUCAGAAAAUUAAUUUUUAUUUUAGCACUAUGCUUGUUAGUUUUAGGUUGGGGUGACCGCGGAGAAAAAAGUAACCUCCACAUUGAAAGGGGCUCCCCCUAAGCAAAAAGCCACAACUUUAUGCAUCAACAAAUUGACAUCAAUUGACCCAAUAUUUUGAUCAACGAAACAAGUUACCCUAGGGAUAACAGCGCAAUCCACUUCGAGAGCCCAUAUCGACAAGUGGGUUUACGACCUCGAUGUUGGAUCAGGGUACCCCAGUGGUGCAGCCGCUACUAAAGGUUCGUUUGUUCAACGAUUAAAACCUAC